GGCUCCUUGGGAUAGAUGGGGAAGCUGAGGCCCAGAAGGGGGCUGAGACCACCUCCCAGUUUCCCCAGUGAGGUGGCGCCUGAGCCACGGCCAGGCCCGGCCUCCUUCCACCCGGCCCUGCUGUGCGCGCGGCGGGUGCUGACCUGGCGAGGCCGGACAGGGGACCAGGUCGGGGUGACCGUCACUGACACCUGGACAGUCCUCGUUGUGUUCGGGGUGGGAAGCCCACGGGGAAGAGUGUAUCACAGCCAUUGGGAACUUUCUUCACCCAUCAAAGCCUCAGGGCUGAAGCAUCCUGAACAAGAACUCAGGAGAGUGAAAGAAACAGUUACCUGUCGGCUGCAGCUGGUACCAGCUCCCCACCCCGUACAGAGACCGAAGCGUCCUCUCUCUCCCCAUCACCCAGCACCAGACUCUGCCCCGCGACCUCAGCCUGCACCUGCUUCCUGGCUCCAUCCAGCCUUCCAGCCUCACUAGAUCAUCAUGGGCCACUGGCCAACACACAGGGCAGUGCCGAGCCCAGGCCGUGGUCACACAUGGCUGGGUUAGUAGCUGAAAACAUUGUUUUUCACUGGCCUCACAGUAAUGGCACCUGCCCCCAUUUUCUGUGAUUGAAUUUUUGGAUCCUGCUACCAGGUUAUGAUAGAUUUUAUGGUAUGUCUCAAGAUAUUGAGAUAAAGGUAAUAAAACAGCUAUAAAGUCAAAAAAA
This 709-nucleotide long non-coding RNA is filed under the name Homo sapiens (human). RNAcentral's name for it is "LY6E divergent transcript (LY6E-DT)". The record is from RNAcentral. Lineage: Eukaryota; Metazoa; Chordata; Mammalia; Primates; Hominidae.